Long non-coding RNA from Hyla sarda, 231 nucleotides. RefSeq lists it as uncharacterized. The record is from RefSeq and is a predicted model, not a curated record. The transcript is spliced from 2 exons. Lineage: Eukaryota; Metazoa; Chordata; Amphibia; Anura; Hylidae.
GUUUGCGGGUCAUGUGAUGUGAAACCUUAACCCCUGAGCUGCCGGGAGAUUAUAACUCCUCCCCCUCCCCUGUGUUAACCUCUGCGGCGCCGAAUCCUCGGUGAUCCCAGAGCCAGGGAGCUGCUGAGACAAUACCAUACUGUACAUAUAAGAGGACUACGCAACUUCCUUUUGGGAUAAUUCCAGCAGCACCAUGCUGAAGCCAGUACAAGUGGUGAUAACACUAUAUUA